GUGCGGCCCCGCCCGGCCCCGACAGGGCCUCCCCGGCUCCUGCCAGCCCCGGGGGCACGGGGGGGAGGGGGGGGAGCGGGGCAGGGCCCCCCGGCGCGCUGCGUGCCCGUGAGGCGCUGCCCCGGCCCCUGUUCCCGUGCCGUGUCCGCGCUGUGCCGGCCCCGCGCCCCCCUCCUCGCUCCCAGGCGCUGCCCUGGGCUCGCCCCUCAGGGCCGCUGCGUUCCGGGAGCACCGGCCCAGCCCCGCAGCCUCCCUUCAGGACGCGGUACUGCCGCUGUCCCGCCAAGCCGCCUGCCUUCUGCUCCUGCUCCCUCUAAACAAUCACAUUCUUAUUACCCAGCCCCGCUCGGGUGUCCGCAGCUUCUUCUCGCAGCAGCCUCGGUGCCGGUUGCUUUGCCCUUCCCUUGCCGGGAGGGCUGGGAGCUCAGCUUCUGUUGGAGCCACUUCCCAGUCUCGCUCUAACUGCAGCUCCGGAUUUUCAUUGUCUUAACCGAAGCCAUCACCAUAAUCUGAGUGGCUAUGGGCCAUUGACAAGGUCUGCUAACCACUGCCUCAAAGAAAAAAAUUUCUAAGCCAUGUGAAUCUUCUUUCUAGCCUUUAGUUUCCAUCAGUGGCCCCUUUCCAGCCCCUCAAGUGUAGCUCUAGGAUUUAUUUUCCUUCCAGUCUUAAGCUGAAUACCCCGCAUACCUUUGAAACAAGAGAAAAGUUAUCUCUGUCUGUGUCUUCAAUACAGUUCUCCAGCAAUUGCCCUGUCAAUAACCAUCGCAGCGCAGUUUCUAGGAAAUUCCUUUGCUGCUUCCUAUGAAAUCCCUUUGCUUUCGAAGAAAAUGUUUGCGUAAAUAAAAGUAUUGGUAAACCCUUGUGAGAUUUUCAUUUACAGAAAAUUCAGAAGGGAAAUGUUUACAUGAGUGCAUGUAAUUGGUAGCAGGUUAUGAACAUGCUUGGUCUUCAAGCCAACUCAACAGGUUGUUGAUAAGAAAACGUGUCCUUGUAAGACUGAGAUCUGGAUGAGUGAUAGCAGAGGCCUAGGUCUCUUUUCUUCCCCUCUUUCAAUGUGUGGUUUUGUGAGGCUUUAUCCGCUUUCUCAAAUACCGGUACGCUGGAUCUGUGCAAAUACAGACUGAUGUUUUCAUUUCUUAACAAUCCCGAAGAUCUUACCAAUGUUUUUUCUCCUUCUGCCAGCCAGUGCAGGAAUAGCGAUUUAGAAAAGCAAACAAACGUGACCCAGGAGGAGUUCUGCAUGCGGUGUACAACUCCAGUUGAGGACCUUUGUACAGCUUUGGGUGCUGCAUGCAGCACUGCUUUGUUCUCAGCUCGUUGCCCUCUGUGCUUAGCCCCUUGGGACUGAAGUUUCUACAUGUUUUAUUGUGUAGUUUGUUUCUCUAAAGAAGUCUACUUGGGAUCUUUUAACACAUGCCCAGGAAUCACAGCAGAGAGAUUCCUUUAGUUGCUCUCUGUUGGUUUCAUGUACUGCUGUUAGAGC
This 1483-nucleotide long non-coding RNA is filed under the name Anas platyrhynchos (mallard). RNAcentral's name for it is "lncRNA (ENSAPLG00020013269.1)". Lineage: Eukaryota; Metazoa; Chordata; Aves; Anseriformes; Anatidae. The record is from RNAcentral.